UGUGUUGGUGGGAAUGCAGUUACUGUGACAUCUGGUCACAUCCUCCAGCUGUUGCAGAGAAGGGUUGGAGUCAAAGGUGUCUGAGUGGAGGGAGGAGCACUGUGGGAUCCUGCUGGGUGUAAGUUUACGGAUGACAGGCAAGCAUGUGAAUCCUGAAUUUAUAUACAGAAAAAUAAAGAAAUCCAAAUUGGUAAUAUAUUGAAGGAGUUAAAAGAAUGACAUAGAUACAAUGUUCCCAGCAUAGAGCCUGAGGCUAACAUCAAAAUCCAGCCGAAGAAGGACCCUAUAUCUGGGAUUGGUAAUAAACAAGCUCUGUGAAUAAAUAUACCUGAUGAAACAGUGAAAUAGUCUGUGUGCCACUAAGAAUGUUCCUCCCCUUGCAGUACAGCAGCUGGAAAAUUAUGACACAACUGCAGUGACACAGUUCCCCCCCAUGGAGCAUUUUUGCAGCAAGACAAGUAAAAAGUCCCCUAUAGGUGUGAAGACCUUUCUACCAAGUGUGUUUUUCUGCAAAGGUACAGCAAGUCAGUCCAAUGCAUCCCUCAUCACCAAAUCACGUGCUUUUGGCAGCCAGUAGCCAGCUACCAGCUGAGUCAAGAUACACCCUCAUCUCCUGCCCGUUGCCUUUGAACAGCAGUUAUGGAUUAAGCCUGACAGUGUGAAAAUAAAUGGGAGAGUGUAGCUGAAGCCAAGCAUUUAUCAAGCCUGGAUGUACUCUAUGCAAGGCAAGUC
Long non-coding RNA from Pipra filicauda (Wire-tailed manakin), 732 nucleotides. RefSeq lists it as uncharacterized. NCBI's taxonomy places the organism in Eukaryota, Metazoa, Chordata, Aves, Passeriformes, Pipridae. The transcript is spliced from 5 exons. The record is from RefSeq and is a predicted model, not a curated record.